AUGGCUCAGGAUGAACGCUAGCGGCAGGCUUAACACAUGCAAGUCAGGGGCAUCGGGAGUAGCAAUACUGCCGGCGACCGGCGCAAAGGGUGCGUAACGCGUGAGCAACAUGCCCGUAUCAGGGGGAUAAUCCAUGGAAACGUGGUCUAAUACCCCAUAGUAAUUAUGUAAGGCAUCUUAUAUAAUUUAAAGCUUUGGUGGAUACGGAUUGGCUCGCGUGACAUUAGCUGGAUGGUAAGGUAACGGCUUACCAUGGCUACGAUGUCUAGGGGUUCUGAGAGGAAGGUCCCCCACACUGGAACUGAGACACGGUCCAGACUCCUACGGGAGGCAGCAGUGAGGAAUAUUGGACAAUGGAUGGAAAUCUGAUCCAGCCAUGUCGCGUGCAAGGAAGACGGCCCUAUGGGUUGUAAACUGCUUUUGUAUGGGAGCAAUAAGGGCUACGUGUAGUCCGAUGAGAGUACCAUACGAAUAAGCACCGGCUAACUCCGUGCCAGCAGCCGC
This 504-nucleotide ribosomal RNA is filed under the name uncultured bacterium. RNAcentral's name for it is "bacterial SSU rRNA". It matches the Rfam family "Bacterial small subunit ribosomal RNA", at positions 19 to 518 of the family's 1533-position model. The record is from RNAcentral.